UGGAAAGGGAUGGAUUCUCCUUAGCCUGAAUGUUCCUUGAAGGUUUCAUGUAUUCAUACUGUCUGAUCCCA
Molecule: small nucleolar RNA, 71 nt
Organism: Notamacropus eugenii (tammar wallaby)
Lineage: Eukaryota; Metazoa; Chordata; Mammalia; Diprotodontia; Macropodidae
Source: Ensembl